RNAcentral lists this ribosomal RNA (440 nucleotides) under uncultured bacterium. RNAcentral describes it as "bacterial SSU rRNA". It matches the Rfam family "Bacterial small subunit ribosomal RNA", at positions 958 to 1397 of the family's 1533-position model. The record is from RNAcentral.
AACGCGAAGAACCUUACCUACUCUUGACAUCAAGAGAAUUCGCUAGAGAUAGCUUAGUGCCUUCGGGAACUCUGAGACAGGCGCUGCAUGGCUGUCGUCAGCUCGUGUUGUGAAAUGUUGGGUUAAGUCCCGCAUCGAGCGCAACCCUUAUCCUUUGUUGCCAGCGAGUAAUGUCGGGAACUCAAAGGAGACUGCCGGUGAUAAACCGGAGGAAGGUGGGGAUGACGUCAAGUCAUCAUGGCCCUUACGAGUAGGGCCACACACGUGCUACAGUGGCAUAUACAAAGAGAAGCGAACUCGCGAGAGCAAGCGGACCUCAUAAAGUAUGUCGUAGUCCGGAUUGGAGUCUGCAACUCGACUCCAUGAAGUCGGAAUCGCUAGUAAUCGUAGAUCAGAAUGCUACGGUGAAUACGUUCCCGGGCCUUGUACACACCGCCCGU